AGAGUUUGAUCCUGGCUCAGAACGAACGCUGGCGGCGUGCCUAACACAUGCAAGUCGAACGGAAUUGAGGGGCUUGCUCUUCAAUUUAGUGGCGCACGGGUGAGUAACGCGUAGAUAAUCUGCCUGAUGAUCUGGGAUAACACUUCGAAAGAGGUGCUAAUACCGGAUAAGCCCACGGAGUCUUUGGAUUCUGCGGGAAAAGGGGGGGACCUUCGGGCCUUCUGUCAUCAGAUGAGUCUGCGUACCAUUAGCUAGUUGGUAGGGUAAUGGCCUACCAAGGCUACGAUGGUUAGCUGGUCUGAGAGGAUGAUCAGCCACACUGGAACUGAGACACGGUCCAGACUCCUACGGGAGGCAGCAGUGGGGAAUCUUGCGCAAUGGGCGAAAGCCUGACGCAGCAACGCCGCGUGCGGGAUGAAGGCCUUCGGGCUGUAAACCGCUUUCAGCAGGAACGAAAAUGACGGUACCUGCAGAAGAAGGAGCGGCCAACUACGUGCCAGCAGCCGCGGUGACACGUAGGCUCCAAGCGUUGUCCGGAUUUAUUGGGCGUAAAGAGCUCGUAGGCGGUUUAGUAAGUCGGGUGUGAAAACUCUGGGCUUAACCCAGAGACGCCAUCCGAUACUGCUGUGACUUGAGUUCAGGAGGGGAGCGGGGAAUUCCUAGUGUAGCGGUGAAAUGCGCAGAUAUUAGGAGGAACACCGGUGGCGAAGGCGCCGCUCUGGACUGAAACUGACGCUGAGGAGCGAAAGCAUGGGUAGCAAACAGGAUUAGAUACCCUGGUAGUCC
RNAcentral lists this ribosomal RNA (786 nucleotides) under uncultured bacterium. RNAcentral describes it as "bacterial SSU rRNA". It matches the Rfam family "Bacterial small subunit ribosomal RNA", at positions 8 to 796 of the family's 1533-position model. The record is from RNAcentral.